AGGGAGGAAGGUAGUGUAGUUAACACCUGCAUUAUUUGACGUUACCUACAGAAGAAGCACCGGCUAACUCCGUGCCAGCAGCCGCGGUAAUACGGAGGGUGCGAGCGUUAAUCGGAAUUACUGGGCGUAAAGCGCAUGCAGGCGGCCUGUUAAGUCAGAUGUGAAAGCCCCGGGGCUUAACCUCGGAAUUGCAUUUGAAACUGGCAGACUAGAGUACUGUAGAGGGGGUAGAAUUUCAGGUGUAGCGGUGAAAUGCGUAGAGAUCUGAAGGAAUACCGGUGGCGAAGGCGGCCCCCUGGACAGAUACUGACACUCAGAUGCGAAAGCGUGGGGAGCAAACAGGAUUAGAUACCCUGGUAG
RNAcentral lists this ribosomal RNA (360 nucleotides) under uncultured bacterium. RNAcentral describes it as "bacterial SSU rRNA". It matches the Rfam family "Bacterial small subunit ribosomal RNA", at positions 441 to 793 of the family's 1533-position model. The record is from RNAcentral.